GACGAACCGUGCGAACGUUAUUCGGAAUCACUGGGCUUAAAGCGCGUGUAGGCGGGACGGCACGUCGGUAGCUGAAAUCCCCCGGCUCAACUGGGGAGGGUCACGCGAUACUGCUCGACUGGAAGGCAGGAGAGGGAAGUGGAAUUCCCGGUGUAGUGGUGAAAUGCGUAGAUAUCGGGAGGAACACCAGUGGCGAAGGCGACUUCCUGGCCUGUUCUUGACGCUGAGGCGCGAAAGCUAGGGUAGCAAACGGG
This 254-nucleotide ribosomal RNA is filed under the name uncultured bacterium. RNAcentral's name for it is "partial 16S ribosomal RNA". It matches the Rfam family "Bacterial small subunit ribosomal RNA", at positions 524 to 776 of the family's 1533-position model. The record is from RNAcentral.